Molecule: ribosomal RNA, 216 nt
Filed under: uncultured fungus
Lineage: Eukaryota; Fungi
Description: partial small subunit ribosomal RNA
Rfam family: Eukaryotic small subunit ribosomal RNA (bases 39-216)
Source: RNAcentral
GGAUUAGUAAGUUGGUCGUGCCUCUGGUAUGUACUGGCUUUACUGGUUCCUCCUUCUUGAAGAACCGUAAUGUCAUUUAGUUGGUGUUGCGGGGAAACAGGACUGUUACUUUGAAAAAAUUAGAGUGUUUAAAGCAGGCAAGCGCUUGAAUACAUUAGCAUGGAAUAAUGAAAUAGGACGUUCGAUCCUAUUUUGUUGGUUUCUAGAAUCGCCGUA